CAGCCGCCGCGGUAAUACGUAGGUGGCGAGCGUUGUCCGGAAUUACUGGGUGUAAAGGGCGUGUAGGCGGGGAUGCAAGUCAGAUGUGAAAUACCGAGGCUUAACCUCGGGGCUGCAUCUGAAACUGUGUUUCUUGAGUGUCGGAGAGGAAAGCGGAAUUCCUGGUGUAGCGGUGAAAUGCGUAGAGAUCAGGAGGAACACCGGUGGCGAAGGCGGCUUUCUGGACGACAACUGACGCUGAGGCGCGAAAGCGUGGGGAGCAAACAGGAUUAGAUACCCUGGUAGUCCACGCCGUAAACGAUGGAUACUAGGUGUAGGAGGUAUCGACCCCUUCUGUGCCGGAGUUAACACAAUAAGUAUCCCACCUGGGGAGUACGGCCGCAAGGCUGAAACUCAAAGGAAUUGACGGGGGCCCGCACAAGCAGUGGAGUAUGUGGUUUAAUUCGAAGCAACGCGAAGAACCUUACCAGGGCUUGACAUACAGACGGAUGGUGUGGAAACACAUCAGACCUUCGGGACGUCUGUACAGGUGGUGCAUGGCC
RNAcentral lists this ribosomal RNA (542 nucleotides) under uncultured archaeon. RNAcentral's name for it is "bacterial SSU rRNA". It matches the Rfam family "Bacterial small subunit ribosomal RNA", at positions 509 to 1050 of the family's 1533-position model. The record is from RNAcentral.